This 1043-nucleotide long non-coding RNA is filed under the name Equus caballus (horse). Its description in RNAcentral is "lncRNA (ENSECAG00000052993.1)". Lineage: Eukaryota; Metazoa; Chordata; Mammalia; Perissodactyla; Equidae. The record is from RNAcentral.
CCUGUGUAACAUUAAUUGCUUUAAAAUGCAGGAUACAUUAUCCUAUGGGCACACGAUUGCAACUAUGUAAAAAUGUUGAAUUCCUGUGGAAGGUGGUAAAAAAUGAAGCAAAAUUGAGCAUGGGAUUACAGAGUGUUAGCCUCUCUGGGACAGUGUUUUUGAUCAUUGUUUUGGGGAAAUGUUUUCACGAUGUAAGCCUAUUUGACUCAGCCUGUUUGUGGAUGUAUUCUAAUAAGGUGGGGGGAGGAGGGCCAGGAAGGAGGAGACAGCCCUUGGAACACGCAGAGGCUUUAAAGGCCCCUGAAAUCGCAGUAUCUAGGCAGUGUACAUACACGGCUGGCCCUGUGUGCUAGGUUUGGUUUUCUUUUGUGGAUGGUGCAAUCUCUUUGAAUUAGAAUGACAUUGUUUCAUGCAAUGUGGUCUGCAUACCCAAGGACAGGCAAGAGCCAGGUUCCCCACCUGGGGCCCUGGGGCCUUUCAGCACCUGUGGACUCGCUGUCCAGAGUAAGGUGUGGAAAAACUAUUGCAAAAGACAGUUUAGAUCUUUCAAGCAGAGCCCUAACUUUUCCAGCAUCUCCAGUGCAAUGCAGGGUCCCAGCUACAUAUUUGCAUAGAAACAGCUUUGCCUCAAGCCAAGCACUGUAGGGAAGAGGCCAUGGAGGGAAGAGACUGGGCCCUCUCUGCCGACGCCUGGUUACCCUGGUCAACUAGGAGGGAAGCCGUUCUGGAUGCCGAGCGGCGCCCUGCACGGACCCCAGAUGGCAGGGCUCCUUCUGGAGCAGUGUAGGGCAAUGUGCAAGGCUGCUGCAUCUUGGAGCAGCUGCUCAGAGCUCUUAUUCACUCAUGAGAAGUCUUAGAAGCCUGGACCACUGUCCCAGUUGUUGGCCCCCUCGCAGGAGAGGAGGGAGAUGUCCCACACCCCCAUCUGUCUGUGGAGACCCUCUCCUAAUUUCUACUCCCGUCCCAAGACUGGUAAUUCUGUCAAAGUAUUACAGAAUUAAAGAAACUCAUUUACUCCUAAACUUACAUGGAAUUCUCACAUC